AAGAGAAGAGAACACGUGCUGUGUUAGCAUUUUCAAUAAAUUAGUUCCAGUACAAAGUUAUCAAGGUGUUUGAAAUCAAAACAAGUUGACUCAAAAAUACAUCAUCACAUCAUUUAAUCUUAAACUCAACUAUUGAACAAUAGAAGAUUUGAAUGAAAGAAUGGGUCAACUCUCAUGUGUUAGUGGAAAGUUACCAAAACAUGUUAAGGACUUAAUUUAUAAUUUUUGUAUUUCUUCAUUUGUUAUUUUAUUUGUUACAUGUAUAUUCAAAACAUUACAGGCGUUAUGAAU
This is a long non-coding RNA of Hydra vulgaris (swiftwater hydra), 291 nucleotides long. RefSeq lists it as uncharacterized. The record is from RefSeq and is a predicted model, not a curated record. Lineage: Eukaryota; Metazoa; Cnidaria; Hydrozoa; Anthoathecata; Hydridae.